AAGCACUCUAUUUGAUUUUCUUCGGAAAUGAAGAUUUUGUGACUGAGUGGCGGACGGGUGAGUAACGCGUGGGCAACCUGCCUCAUACAGGGGGAUAACAGUUGGAAACGACUGCUAAUACCGCAUAAGCGCACAGGAUCGCAUGAUCCGGUGUGAAAAACUCCGGUGGUAUGAGAUGGACCCGCGUCUGAUUAGCCAGUUGGCAGGGUAACGGCCUACCAAAGCGACGAUCAGUAGCCGACCUGAGAGGGUGACCGGCCACAUUGGGACUGAGACACGGCCCAAACUCCUACGGGAGGCAGCAGUGGGGAAUAUUGCACAAUGGGGGAAACCCUGAUGCAGCGACGCCGCGUGAGCGAAGAAGUAUUUCGGUAUGUAAAGCUCUAUCAGCAGGGAAGAAGAAUGACGGUACCUGACUAAGAAGCACCGGCUAAAUACGUGCCAGCAGCCGCGGUAAUACGUAUGGUGCAAGCGUUAUCCGGAUUUACUGGGUGUAAAGGGAGCGCAGGCGGUGCGGCAAGUCUGAUGUGAAAGCCCGGGGCUCAACCCCGGUACUGCAUUGGAAACUGUCGUACUAGAGUGUCGGAGGGGUAAGUGGAAUUCCUAGUGUAGCGGUGAAAUGCGUAGAUAUUAGGAGGAACACCAGUGGCGAAGGCGGCUUACUGGACGAUAACUGACGCUGAGGC
This 686-nucleotide ribosomal RNA is filed under the name uncultured Lachnospiraceae bacterium. RNAcentral describes it as "bacterial SSU rRNA". It matches the Rfam family "Bacterial small subunit ribosomal RNA", at positions 55 to 752 of the family's 1533-position model. The record is from RNAcentral. Lineage: Bacteria; Bacillati; Bacillota; Clostridia; Lachnospirales; Lachnospiraceae.